Marmota monax (woodchuck) is the source of this 1512-nucleotide long non-coding RNA. RefSeq lists it as uncharacterized. The record is from RefSeq and is a predicted model, not a curated record. The transcript is spliced from 2 exons. Lineage: Eukaryota; Metazoa; Chordata; Mammalia; Rodentia; Sciuridae.
ACCUGCACCUCCAGCCAGGGCCCCAGCAGAAGGGAGGAGUGUUCCAAGGACCGGAGGCAGGAAGUGGAUUGGUCGCCAGGAAAGGGAAAGCGCCUGAAUUGGAGAUGCGCAAGCGCAGGCACUUCGCAGGUGGCGGGGAGUAGCGAGAAUGAGGCGGGGCUAGGCUAACUGGAGGCGAGGAGGAGCGGUGGAAUAGCAGAAUUACGGAGCGCUGUUAAGGACAAGUUUGGUCGCGUGAUUCUCAUCGGGGUGUCCCGAUGCGAACCGUAAGGUGGAGGUUCAAGUAGGGAAAGUUUGAUUGGACUAAUUCAAGGGGAGAGGUUUGAAGAUUUAGGAAAUUGGAGCAGGGGGAGAAGGUAGAAACUGCUAAAAUAUGGGUCUAGAUUGAUGAGUGCCCUAAAUGACUCCGAAAGUCCCGUAGGGGAAUUUCCAGAAGCAGCUUCGGGUGUUCUACCUAAAACAUAAAAUGAAGAAAAAAUUGACGUACCUUGUGUUCUAGCAAGCGAAUUUUAAAAAUUACAACGAACUCACUCGUUAAAAAAAUAAGGUUAGUCUUGUUUCCCGAAUGCGAACCAAAGUCAACUUUUUAAGAUGGAUAUCAGCUGCUCCACGCUACACACUUCCUGUUCGAUUGCUGAAAUUGUGCAUCUGAAACACUUUUAAGAUUUGUCAGCAUAAUUUGGUUGGAUGUUGUUACCGGUUGGCUUUGGUUGGUCGGAAGCCAAAGGAACAAAGGUACAAAACUAGUCUUCAUUCUUGCUUGACAUGGGGCGCCCCACUGGAUAACCAAGCCCAGAAAAUGAGCUGCUACACAACCUCAAAUACUUGAGGAUUUUCCCCACCUGAUAUGACCGAGUACCACACACAUUACAAUGCAUACAUCCCUGUGGAUAUAAUGAGGACUAAGAAGAGGCCUGAUUAUAUAAUCUACUUCUACCAAGACCAAUGCAUAUGAUAAAACAAGAAUAUCUGCUUGGGUUUGGGGGCGUAGCUUUAUGGUAGAGUGCUUACCUAGUGUGCUGAAGGUCCUGCAUUUCAGUCCCCAACAUUGCAAAAGGAAAAAAAUGUUAAAAAAAGAAUGACUGCCUGGGUGAGACCAGUGUAUUGCCAAAUCCAGACCCAUGCUAAUGCAAAGAAAAGGUGAAGCUGGGGAGCAAAGACCUACUGUCGAGUCUUAGAGCCACAGCACAGGCAACACGGAAGAACGGAGCUAGUCAUCGUAAACCCUCUGUCAUCUGAUGCCUCAUUUUAAAAAUGAAUAGAGGUUACAUUUCAGAAUUUCAAACUUUCUGAUUUUCAGACAUUUACCACUGCUUCCAAAUGUUUCAGAAUCCAUGUACAGGGCUGGGGAUGUGGCUCAAGCGGUAGCGCGCUCACCUGGCAUGCGUGCGGCCUGGGUUCAAUCCUCAGCACUACAUACAAAAAAAAACAAAAGAUGUUGUGUCCGCCGAAAACUAAAAAAUAAAUAUUAAAAAAUUCUCUCUCUCUCUCUCUCUCUCUCUCUCUCUCUCU